Tinamus guttatus (white-throated tinamou) is the source of this 237-nucleotide non-coding RNA. The record is from RefSeq and is a predicted model, not a curated record. Lineage: Eukaryota; Metazoa; Chordata; Aves; Tinamiformes; Tinamidae.
AAAAUUCAAUUUCAAUAUGAACAUUGUCCAAGAGAGGUCUGAAAUUCUUUGUAGCAUGGUUUGACGUUGAUGGGAUCUCUGCACAUAUGCAAGUGUAAAAAGCAGGCCAGAAAAUGUAUUUUCAAAAUUUUCAAACAUUAAAAUGCUUGAACAGAAGCUUGAAGUAGAAGUAACAGUUCUAAGUUUCAGACAUAACACUUCUUCAAAGUGUUAACUACUCUUGACUCAUGUCUGUGG